This 392-nucleotide RNase P RNA is filed under the name Devosia sp. RNAcentral describes it as "RNase P RNA component class A". It matches the Rfam family "Bacterial RNase P class A". Rfam says of the family: Ribonuclease P (RNase P) is a ubiquitous endoribonuclease, found in archaea, bacteria and eukarya as well as chloroplasts and mitochondria. Its best characterised activity is the generation of mature 5'-ends of tRNAs by cleaving the 5'-leader elements of precursor-tRNAs. The record is from RNAcentral. Lineage: Bacteria; Pseudomonadati; Pseudomonadota; Alphaproteobacteria; Hyphomicrobiales; Devosiaceae.
CCAGUUGACCGGGUGGCCGCUGGCAGUGGGGUAACCUGCUGCUGGAGGAAAGUCCGGGCUCCUUCGAAACACGGUGCCGGUUAACGGCCGGCGGGGGCGACCCCAGGGAAAGUGCCACAGAAAGCAAACCGCCUGCCUUCGGGUCGGUAAGGGUGAAAGGGUGCGGUAAGAGCGCACCGGGCGACCAGCAAUGGAAGCUGCACGGUAAACCCCACCGGGAGCAAGACCAAAUAGGGAUGACGCGGGGCUUUACGUCCCAGCCAGUUUUGAGGCCAGAUCAUCCGGGUUGGUUGCACGAGCGUCCUGGUAACAGGCGCCAUAGAUGAAUGGUCACCACGUCUGCCCGCAAGGCGCAGGCCCUACAGAACCCGGCUUAUAGGUCAACUGGCGUU